GCAUGUGGUUUAAUUCGACAUACGCGAAGAACCUUACCUGGCCUUGACAUAGAAAGAAUUUAGCAGAGAUGUAAAAGUGCUAGUUUACUAGAGCUUUCAUACAGGUGCUGCACGGCUGUCGUCAGCUCGUGUCGUGAGAUGUUAGGUUAAGUCCUGCAACGAGCGCAACCCUCGUUGUUUAGUUACUAACAGAUUAUGCUGAGGACUCUAGACAUACUGCCCUGGGCAACCAGGAGGAAGGUGAGGACGACGUCAAGUCAUCAUGGCCCUUACGGCCAGGGCUACACACGUGCUACAAUGGGGUAUACAAAGAGCAGCGAUACCGCGAGGUGGAGCAAAUCUCAUAAAAUAUCUCCCAGUUCGGAUUACACUCUGCAACUCGAGUGUAUGAAGUUGGAAUCGCUAGUAAUCGUAGAUCACCAAUGCUACGGUGAAUACGUUCCCGGGUCUUGUACCCACCGCCCG
Molecule: ribosomal RNA, 465 nt
Filed under: uncultured Campylobacterota bacterium
Lineage: Bacteria; Pseudomonadati; Campylobacterota
Description: bacterial SSU rRNA
Rfam family: Bacterial small subunit ribosomal RNA
Source: RNAcentral